This 801-nucleotide ribosomal RNA is filed under the name Neoactinomyxum sp. 'B1' EE-2005. Its description in RNAcentral is "SSU rRNA". It matches the Rfam family "Eukaryotic small subunit ribosomal RNA", at positions 146 to 897 of the family's 1831-position model. Lineage: Eukaryota; Metazoa; Cnidaria; Myxozoa. The record is from RNAcentral.
CCCGUGGGAAAUCUAGAGCUAAUACGUGCAGUUUAUUGGCUCGUCUUCGGGCGAGUCAAAGCAUUUAUUAGACUAAACCAUCUACUAUGCUCGCAUAGUAAGGGGAAUCUGGAUAACUUUGCUGAUCGUAUGGCCUUGUGCCGGCGACGUUUCAAUUGAGUUUCUGCCCUAUCAACUUGUUGGUAAGGUAUUGGCUUACCAAGGUUGCAACGGGUAACGGGGAAUCAGGGUUCGAUUCCGGAGAGGGAGCCUGAGAAACGGCUACCACAUCCAAGGAAGGCAACAGGCGCGCAAAUUACCCAAUCUAGACAGUAGGAGGUGGUGAAGAGAAUUACUAGGUGGUGACUCAAUGAGUUACCAGUUUGGAAUGAACGUAACUUAAGAAAUUCGAUGAGAAACAACUGGAGGGCAAGUCCUGGUGCCAGCAGCCGCGGUAAUUCCAGCUCCAGUAGUUUGCUUUAAAGUUGUUGCGUUUAAAACGCUCGUAGUUGGAUCACGCAGCAGUACCCAGUAAUCUACUAGUUGACGUUCCAUUGAAACCCACCUCGGUGGCCUUUCAGGAGCGUCGGUAGCAGAUACUAACGCUGGGCACUGUUAGUUGCACGUGAGAUGAAUUGUUGGCCUUUAUUGAGCCGGUAUUCUCGUCUUGCGGAGUGUGCCUUGAAUAAAACAGAGUGCUUAAAGCAGGUCGUUGCCUGAAUGUUAUAGCAUGGAACGAACAAUCGUGUAUAUGUGUGCAUCCUUGAUCGGUGACGAGCCUUAGGCUUGUUGUUGAUCGGGAUACAUACGGCACCCACCUAA